Molecule: ribosomal RNA, 661 nt
Filed under: Bacillaceae bacterium GUDS1051
Lineage: Bacteria; Bacillati; Bacillota; Bacilli; Caryophanales; Bacillaceae
Description: bacterial SSU rRNA
Rfam family: Bacterial small subunit ribosomal RNA
Source: RNAcentral
GGGAGCUUGCUCCCUGAUGUUAGCGGCGGACGGGUGAGUAACACGUGGGUAACCUGCCUGUAAGACUGGGAUAACUCCGGGAAACCGGGGCUAAUACCGGAUGGUUGUUUGAACCGCAUGGUUCAGACAUAAAAGGUGGCUUCGGCUACCACUUACAGAUGGACCCGCGGCGCAUUAGCUAGUUGGUGAGGUAACGGCUCACCAAGGCGACGAUGCGUAGCCGACCUGAGAGGGUGAUCGGCCACACUGGGACUGAGACACGGCCCAGACUCCUACGGGAGGCAGCAGUAGGGAAUCUUCCGCAAUGGACGAAAGUCUGACGGAGCAACGCCGCGUGAGUGAUGAAGGUUUUCGGAUCGUAAAGCUCUGUUGUUAGGGAAGAACAAGUGCCGUUCAAAUAGGGCGGCACCUUGACGGUACCUAACCAGAAAGCCACGGCUAACUACGUGCCAGCAGCCGCGGUAAUACGUAGGUGGCAAGCGUUGUCCGGAAUUAUUGGGCGUAAAGGGCUCGCAGGCGGUUUCUUAAGUCUGAUGUGAAAGCCCCCGGCUCAACCGGGGAGGGUCAUUGGAAACUGGGGAACUUGAGUGCAGAAGAGGAGAGUGGAAUUCCACGUGUAGCGGUGAAAUGCGUAGAGAUGUGGAGGAACACCAGUGGCGAA